GGCAUCUGUGUGUGUGUGUGUGUGUGUGUGUGUGUGUGUGCACGAUGUAUGUACACACACACAUGCCC
Molecule: microRNA precursor, 68 nt
Filed under: Procavia capensis (Cape rock hyrax)
Lineage: Eukaryota; Metazoa; Chordata; Mammalia; Hyracoidea; Procaviidae
Description: miRNA (ENSPCAG00000019509.1)
Source: RNAcentral